RNAcentral lists this ribosomal RNA (298 nucleotides) under uncultured bacterium. RNAcentral describes it as "partial 16S ribosomal RNA". It matches the Rfam family "Bacterial small subunit ribosomal RNA", at positions 335 to 631 of the family's 1533-position model. The record is from RNAcentral.
UCGCCUACGGGACGCAGCAGUGAGGAAUAUUGGUCAAUGGGCGGGAGCCUGAACCAGCCAAGUCGCGUGAGGGAAGACGGUCCUGUGGAUUGUAAACCUCUUUUGUCGGGGAGCAAGACCGCCUCGGGCAGGCGGAGCGAGAGUACCCGAAGAAAAAGCAUCGGCUAACUCCGUGCCAGCAGCCGCGGUAAUACGGAGGAUGCGAGCGUUAUCCGGAUUUAUUGGGUUUAAAGGGUGCGCAGGCGGACCAUCAAGUCAGCGGUAAAAUCGUGGGGCCCAACCCCAUCCCGCCGUUGAA